UACGUAGGGGGCAAGCGUUGUCCGGAUUUAUUGGGCGUAAAGAGCGUGUAGGCGGCUUUACAGGUCCGUUGUGAAAACUCGAGGCUCAACCUCGAGACGCCGGUGGAAACCGUAAGGCUAGAGUCCGGAAGAGGGGAGUGGAAUUCCUGGUGUAGCGGUGAAAUGCGCAGAUAUCAGGAAGAACACCCGUGGCGAAGGCGGCUCUCUGGGACGGUACUGACGCUGAGACGCGAAAGCGUGGGGAGCGAACAGG
This 253-nucleotide ribosomal RNA is filed under the name uncultured bacterium. RNAcentral describes it as "partial 16S ribosomal RNA". It matches the Rfam family "Bacterial small subunit ribosomal RNA", at positions 524 to 776 of the family's 1533-position model. The record is from RNAcentral.